RNAcentral lists this transfer RNA (72 nucleotides) under Tauraco erythrolophus (red-crested turaco). It matches the Rfam family "tRNA". Rfam says of the family: Transfer RNA (tRNA) molecules are approximately 80 nucleotides in length. Their secondary structure includes four short double-helical elements and three loops (D, anti-codon, and T loops). Further hydrogen bonds mediate the characteristic L-shaped molecular structure. tRNAs have two regions of fundamental functional importance: the anti-codon, which is responsible for specific mRNA codon recognition, and the 3' end, to which the tRNAs corresponding amino acid is attached (by aminoacyl-tRNA synthetases). tRNAs cope with the degeneracy of the genetic code in two manners: having more than one tRNA (with a specific anti-codon) for a particular amino acid; and 'wobble' base-pairing, i.e. permitting non-standard base-pairing at the 3rd anti-codon position. Lineage: Eukaryota; Metazoa; Chordata; Aves; Musophagiformes; Musophagidae. The record is from Rfam by way of RNAcentral.
GGUCAUGUAGCUCGGUGGGAGAGCACUCACUUUGCAUGUAAGAGGCCCUGGGUUCAACCCCCAGCAUCUCCA